Molecule: long non-coding RNA, 464 nt
Organism: Strigops habroptila (Kakapo)
Lineage: Eukaryota; Metazoa; Chordata; Aves; Psittaciformes; Psittacidae
Exons: 2
Source: RefSeq, a predicted model, not a curated record
CAUCCCAGCCGGGCACUGGGAGCCAGCUCCGCUCCCUGCCUGGCACUAUCAGUGGUUUCAGGGCUCCCUCUCCUGGCUCUUCCACUCAUCGCCGUCCAAGGUUCCGACUUUGCUGCUCUGCAGCUUUUUUGCUUGGUUGUUUUUUUCCUCAAUGCACCCCUGUCCCGCAGCUCAUCCUGCUCCCAUCUCUCCCGGUGACUGUUGCAGACGUCCCAUGAUGCUCAAUAGAUACCCCCCUGCCGGUGGGGACCGGGGCCGUGGUGCCCUGGGGAGGGGGAACGUCGUGGAGCACAGCCUGAGCAAGAGCCGUGGCACCAUCCUCUGCAGCCUGCGGGGCAGGGGCUGGGGGUGCUGCCCCCUCGUCUCUGUCUAGCAGAGCCCCCCCUCUUUUCUUAGGGGUGCCUGUCCCUGUGUAAAUGACAAUUAUUAAAGUGAUGAACUGCUCCUUGGGACAGUUUUUCUCA